CUUCGGAUUGAAGCAAUUGUGACUGAGCGGCGGACGGGUGAGUAACGCGUGGGUAACCUGCCUCAUACAGGGGGAUAACAGUUGGAAACGGCUGCUAAUACCGCAUAAGCGCACAGUACCGCAUGGUACCGUGUGAAAAACUCCGGUGGUAUGAGAUGGACCCGCGUCUGAUUAGCUAGUUGGUGGGGUAACGGCCUACCAAGGCGACGAUCAGUAGCCGACCUGAGAGGGUGACCGGCCACAUUGGGACUGAGACACGGCCCAAACUCCUACGGGAGGCAGCAGUGGGGAAUAUUGCACAAUGGGGGAAACCCUGAUGCAGCGACGCCGCGUGAGCGAUGAAGUAUUUCGGUAUGUAAAGCUCUAUCAGCAGGGAAGAAAAUGACGGUACCUGACUAAGAAGCCCCGGCUAACUACGUGCCAGCAGCCGCGGUAAUACGUAGGGGGCAAGCGUUAUCCGGAUUUACUGGGUGUAAAGGGAGCGUAGACGGCAUGGCAAGCCAGAUGUGAAAGCCCGGGGCUCAACCCCGGGACUGCAUUUGGAACUGUCAGGCUAGAGUGUCGGAGAGGAAAGCGGAAUUCCUAGUGUAGCGGUGAAAUGCGUAGAUAUUAGGAGAACACCAGUGGCGAAGGCGGCUUUC
This 641-nucleotide ribosomal RNA is filed under the name uncultured Lachnospiraceae bacterium. RNAcentral describes it as "bacterial SSU rRNA". It matches the Rfam family "Bacterial small subunit ribosomal RNA", at positions 78 to 729 of the family's 1533-position model. The record is from RNAcentral. Lineage: Bacteria; Bacillati; Bacillota; Clostridia; Lachnospirales; Lachnospiraceae.